UACAGAGGUCUCAAGCGUUGUUCGGAUUCAUUGGGCGUAAAGGGUGUGUAGGUGGCGCGCUAAGUCGGGUGUGAAAUUUCGGAGCUUAACUCCGAAACUGCAUUCGAUACUGGCGUGCUUGAGGACUGGAGAGGAGACUGGAAUUUACGGUGUAGCAGUGAAAUGCGUAGAGAUCAUGAGGAAGACCAGUGGCGAAGGCGGGUCUCUGGACAGUUCCUGACACUGAUGCACGAAGGCCAGGGGAGCAAACGGG
RNAcentral lists this ribosomal RNA (253 nucleotides) under uncultured bacterium. RNAcentral describes it as "partial 16S ribosomal RNA". It matches the Rfam family "Bacterial small subunit ribosomal RNA", at positions 524 to 776 of the family's 1533-position model. The record is from RNAcentral.